UACGUAGGGUGCGAGCGUUGCCCGGAUUUAUUGGGCGUAAAGGGCGCGUAGGCGGCUCUGCACGUCCGUUGUGAAAUCGCCCGGCUCAACUGGGAAACUGCAUCGGAAACUGAUCGGCUUGAAGAUGGGAGAGGGUAGUGGAAUUCCCGGUGUAGUGGUGAAAUGCGUAGAUAUCGGGAGGAACACCAGUGGCGAAGGCGACUACCUGGCCCAUUCUUGACGCUGAGGCGCGAAAGCUAGGGGAGCGAACGGG
RNAcentral lists this ribosomal RNA (253 nucleotides) under uncultured bacterium. RNAcentral's name for it is "partial 16S ribosomal RNA". It matches the Rfam family "Bacterial small subunit ribosomal RNA", at positions 524 to 776 of the family's 1533-position model. The record is from RNAcentral.